Molecule: ribosomal RNA, 271 nt
Filed under: uncultured bacterium
Lineage: Bacteria
Description: partial 16S ribosomal RNA
Rfam family: Bacterial small subunit ribosomal RNA
Source: RNAcentral
UACGGAGGGUGCAAGCGUUGUCCGGAAUCACUGGGCGUAAAGGGCGCGUAGGCGGCUCGGUAAGUAGGGGGUGAAAUCCUGCGGCUUAACCGCAGGGCUGCCUUCUAAACUGUCGAGCUUGAGCACGGUAGAGGCAGAUGGAAUUCCCGGUGUAGCGGUGGAAUGCGUAGAGAUCCGGAAGAACACCGGUGGCGAAGGCGGCCCGCUGGGCAGGAAGACACCGCAAGGUGUCGGCUGACGCUGAGGAGCGAAAGCGUGGGGAGCGAACAGG